GUACUACUCCCUCCGUCCGAAAAUACUUGUCAUCAAAAUGGAUAAAAAAGAUGUAUCUAGAACUAAUUUACAUCUAGACACAUCCCCUUUUAUUCAUUUUGAUGACAAGUAUUUUCGGACGGAGGGAGUACUAU
Triticum aestivum (bread wheat) is the source of this 134-nucleotide non-coding RNA. NCBI's taxonomy places the organism in Eukaryota, Viridiplantae, Streptophyta, Magnoliopsida, Poales, Poaceae. The record is from Rfam.